This 45-nucleotide ribosomal RNA is filed under the name Houttuynia cordata (chameleon-plant). Its description in RNAcentral is "partial 18S ribosomal RNA". It matches the Rfam family "Eukaryotic small subunit ribosomal RNA", at positions 1790 to 1831 of the family's 1831-position model. Lineage: Eukaryota; Viridiplantae; Streptophyta; Magnoliopsida; Piperales; Saururaceae. The record is from RNAcentral.
CGUAACAAGGUUUCCGUAGGUGAACCUGCGGAAGGAUCAUUGUUG